CUACGGGUCGCACCAGUGGGGAAUAUUGCGCAAUGGAGGCAACUCUGACGCAGCAAUUCCGCGUGGAUGAUGAAGGUUUUCGGAUUGUAAAGUCCUUUCAGCAGGGAAGAAGCAAGUGACGGUACCUGCAGAAGAAGCCACGGCUAAUUACGUGCCAGCAGCCGCGGUAAGACGUAAGUGGCAAGCGUUAUCCGGAUUUACUGGGCGUAAAGGGCGCGUAGGCGGCAAAUCAAGUCAGAGGUGAAAAGUCAGGGCUCAACCUUGGCCUUGCCUUUGAAACUGAUUAGCUAGAGUACAGGAGAGGAGGGUGGAACUACCAGUGUAGCGGUGAAAUGCGUAGAUAUUGGUAGGAACGCCGAUGACGAAGGUAGCUCUCUGGACUGAUACUGACGCUGAGGCGCGAAAGCUAGGGGAGCAAACAGGAUUAGAUACCCUGGUAGUC
Molecule: ribosomal RNA, 442 nt
Filed under: uncultured bacterium
Lineage: Bacteria
Description: partial 16S ribosomal RNA
Rfam family: Bacterial small subunit ribosomal RNA
Source: RNAcentral